GGACAGGUGGCCGAGUGGACGAAGGCGCUUGACUCGAAAUCAAGUGUGCGCUUUGCGUACCGUGGGUUCGAAUCCCACCCUGUCCG
Molecule: transfer RNA, 86 nt
Filed under: Candidatus Dadabacteria bacterium
Lineage: Bacteria; Pseudomonadati; Thermodesulfobacteriota; Candidatus Dadabacteria
Description: tRNA-Ser
Rfam family: tRNA
About the family: Transfer RNA (tRNA) molecules are approximately 80 nucleotides in length. Their secondary structure includes four short double-helical elements and three loops (D, anti-codon, and T loops). Further hydrogen bonds mediate the characteristic L-shaped molecular structure. tRNAs have two regions of fundamental functional importance: the anti-codon, which is responsible for specific mRNA codon recognition, and the 3' end, to which the tRNAs corresponding amino acid is attached (by aminoacyl-tRNA synthetases). tRNAs cope with the degeneracy of the genetic code in two manners: having more than one tRNA (with a specific anti-codon) for a particular amino acid; and 'wobble' base-pairing, i.e. permitting non-standard base-pairing at the 3rd anti-codon position.
Source: RNAcentral